This 257-nucleotide ribosomal RNA is filed under the name Pseudomonas sp. PDM22. RNAcentral describes it as "partial 23S ribosomal RNA". It matches the Rfam family "Bacterial large subunit ribosomal RNA", at positions 17 to 273 of the family's 2925-position model. Lineage: Bacteria; Pseudomonadati; Pseudomonadota; Gammaproteobacteria; Pseudomonadales; Pseudomonadaceae. The record is from RNAcentral.
CGCAUACGGUGGAUGCCUUGGCAGUCAGAGGCGAUGAAAGACGUGGUAGCCUGCGAUAAGCUUCGGGGAGUCGGCAAACAGACUUUGAUCCGGAGAUCUCUGAAUGGGGAAACCCACCUAGCAUAAGCUGGGUAUCUUGCACUGAAUACAUAGGUGUAAGAGGCGAACCAGGGGAACUGAAACAUCUAAGUACCCUGAGGAAAAGAAAUCAACCGAGAUUCCCUUAGUAGUGGCGAGCGAACGGGGAUUAGCCCUUA